ACGGGAGGCAGCAGUGGGGAAUAUUGGACAAUGGGGGAAACCCUGAUCCAGCGACGCCGCGUGAGUGAAGAAGUAUUUCGGUAUGUAAAGCUCUAUCAGCAGGGAAGAUAAUGACGGUACCUGACUAAGAAGCACCGGCUAAAUACGUGCCAGCAGCCGCGGUAAUACGUAUGGUGCAAGCGUUAUCCGGAUUUACUGGGUGUAAAGGGUGCGUAGGUGGUAUGGCAAGUCAGAAGUGAAAUGCGGGGGCUCAACCCCUGAACUGCUUUUGAAACUGUCAAACUAGAGUGCAGGAGAGGCAAGCGGAAUUCCUAGUGUAGCGGUGAAAUGCGUAGAUAUUAGGAGGAACACCAGUGGCGAAGGCGGCUUGCUGGACUGUAACUGACACUGAGGCACGAAAGCGUGGGGAGCAAACAGGAUUAGAUACCCUGGUA
Molecule: ribosomal RNA, 434 nt
Filed under: uncultured Lachnospiraceae bacterium
Lineage: Bacteria; Bacillati; Bacillota; Clostridia; Lachnospirales; Lachnospiraceae
Description: partial 16S ribosomal RNA
Rfam family: Bacterial small subunit ribosomal RNA
Source: RNAcentral